GACGAACGCUGGCGGCGUGCUUAACACAUGCAAGUCGAACGGAAAGGCCCGGCUUUUGUUGGUUUCUCGAGUGGCGAAGAGGGGAGUAACACGUGAGUAACCUGCCCUUAACUUUGGGGUAACUUCAGGGAACUGGGGCUAAUACCGGGGAUGAUCUCCUGCUGCAUGUGGGUGGUUGGAAAAUUUCGGCGGUUGGGGAUGGUAUGGCUGGUUAUCCGCUUGAUGGGCGGGUAGGUGCUUUACAAGGAUUUGACGGGUAGCCUGCCUGAGAGGGUGAACGGCCACAUUGCGACUGCGAUAGGGAGCAGACUCCAACGGGAGGCAACAGUGGGGAAUAUUGCACAAUGGGCGGAAGCCUGAUGCAGCAACGCCGCGUGCGGGAUGACGGGUUUUGGGUUGUAAACAGAUUUCGAAGGUGACGAAGAGUGAGUGACGGUAAUGGGUAAAGAAGCCACGGCUAACUACGUG
This 468-nucleotide ribosomal RNA is filed under the name uncultured bacterium. Its description in RNAcentral is "partial 16S ribosomal RNA". It matches the Rfam family "Bacterial small subunit ribosomal RNA", at positions 28 to 507 of the family's 1533-position model. The record is from RNAcentral.